UGCAAAACAAAUUUUCAAAACUUAAAAUAUUUACAAACAAAUAAUCGAAGAAAAUUUAUGUUUAAACGUUUUUUCUUCGUGCAGAGGGCAUGGACGAGUGUGACACGAUAGCCAACGUUUUCCAGUGUGGCCAGGAAAAGGCGCCAAACCUAGUGGCGAACGUGAUCACGGCAAUAGAAUUCAACAGCACAGCAGAAAAAUCGCCUCUGCAACCAAUUCUGGGCGAAUGCGUUGAUCAUAAAUGCAUAAUUCACCCUCGCUGGAGCGACGAGUAUUUGAACAAAAACACUGCGUUUGGAACUGUUCUGACUAUUUGUAACAAGCGCUAUUUGCUGGCGGGUUCGGAACGCUUUUCAUUCGACGGUGCCGGAUCUUGGUGUUGCACUUACGGGGUUAAAAUAGUUUCGAUCGAGACACUGGCGGAACUGCAGUGCAUUGUGGACUCACCCCUCGGCAGGUUUUCAAAAUUAAACCGAUGAACGGUCUAAAAUAUUUUUUCAGGAGGAUUAACUAGACCUGCCGAUAUAUGGACGUCGGCCUCGAGGAAAGGAACGGUCACCGGCUUCCGAUGGUGCACGUCCAGAGAGCCGCUGAAUUUCUCAAUGUGGAAGUGGCACCCGGACAUUGAGAAAAACCCAGAAAAGGAAAUAAUGACGCUGAAUAUCCAAAACACAUUGCAAGAUUCUUAUUUUUUUGCAAGCUCUGCUGACACUGAUGAAGCAUUUACUCUUUGCGAACUGUAAAUUUAGUAAUUUUGGUAUACGCACUAAUUUGAAACUGCUCAUUUUGGUUGUGCUGGCAAAAUAAAAUUGGGGAAAUAAAAAAACGUUCCAUUUUCUCCACGACCGACAGUAUAGAAUUAUUUUUAGGGACUUAGGGAUUC
Long non-coding RNA from Cloeon dipterum, 883 nucleotides. RefSeq lists it as uncharacterized. The record is from RefSeq and is a predicted model, not a curated record. NCBI's taxonomy places the organism in Eukaryota, Metazoa, Arthropoda, Insecta, Ephemeroptera, Baetidae. The transcript has 5 exons.